AAUUGGAGGCCAGUGAAUGGCAAGACUAGGAAUGCCUGUACUUUGUGUACAAAAAAAACUUUUCAUCUAAGUGAAAAGACUUAGAUAAUGAAGGAAGACGAAAAGACCCCGCGGAACUUUACCUUUUCUAGUACCUCUGUCUACAAACUUAAAGCUACAUAAGGUUUGAUUGGGGCAAUCUUGGAACCAACAAAGCUUCCAAUUUUUUUAAAACAACAUUCAAAAUUUACUAAAGACCAAAAAGUAGUUACCCCGGGGAUAACAGCGUAAUUCAACUUAAGAGUACAUAUCGAAAGUUGGGUUUGCGA
Molecule: ribosomal RNA, 308 nt
Filed under: Lepidodesma languilati
Lineage: Eukaryota; Metazoa; Mollusca; Bivalvia; Unionida; Unionidae
Description: partial 16S ribosomal RNA
Rfam family: Bacterial large subunit ribosomal RNA (bases 66-308)
Source: RNAcentral